RNAcentral lists this unclassified non-coding RNA (233 nucleotides) under Cystofilobasidium macerans. RNAcentral describes it as "partial internal transcribed spacer 2". Lineage: Eukaryota; Fungi; Basidiomycota; Tremellomycetes; Cystofilobasidiales; Cystofilobasidiaceae. The record is from RNAcentral.
AACUCUCACCUCCAGCCUUCUUUAAUUAGAGGUGUUGGGGCGUGGACGUGAGUGCUGCUGGUGCCCUGGUUGCAUCGGCUCACUUGAAAUACAUUAGCUGAAUCCUCUAGAGGUGGUUCUACUCGACGUGAUAAGAUCUCCGUCGAGGACAGUGCAACUUGUUGUGCUGGCCGCCGCUAGCAGUUGAUACGCUUCUAAUUAGCGCAGACUUCGAGUGCUGGCAACUUUUGACA